RNAcentral lists this ribosomal RNA (459 nucleotides) under uncultured bacterium. RNAcentral describes it as "partial 16S ribosomal RNA". It matches the Rfam family "Bacterial small subunit ribosomal RNA", at positions 338 to 795 of the family's 1533-position model. The record is from RNAcentral.
CCUACGGGUGGCAGCAGUGAGGAAUAUUGGUCAAUGGCCGGAAGGCUGAACCAGCCAUGCCGCGUGAAGGUCAGUGCCCUAUGGGCGUUAAACUUCUUUUGUGCGGGAGCAAUAAUGGUCACGUGUGGCCAGACGAGAGUACCGUACGAAUAAGCAUCGGCUAACUCCGUGCCAGCAGCCGCGGUAAUAAGGGGGAUGCAAGCGUUAUCCGGAUUUAUUGGGUGUAAAGGGCGUGUAGGCGGGACUGCAAGUCAGAUGUGAAAACCACGGGCUCAACCUGUGGCCUGCAUUUGAAACUGUAGUUCUUGAGUACUGGAGAGGCAGACGGAAUUCCUAGUGUAGCGGUGAAAUGCGUAGAUAUGAGGAGGAACACCGGUGGCGAAGGCGGUCUGCUGGACAGCAACUGACGCUGAGGCGCGAAAGCGUGGGGAGCAAACAGGAUUAGAUACCCGAGUAGUC